Molecule: ribosomal RNA, 253 nt
Filed under: uncultured bacterium
Lineage: Bacteria
Description: partial 16S ribosomal RNA
Rfam family: Bacterial small subunit ribosomal RNA
Source: RNAcentral
UACGUAGGGUGCAAGCGUUGUCCGGAAUUAUUGGGCGUAAAGAGCUCGUAGGCGGUUUGUCGCGUCGAAUGUGAAAUCUCAGGGCUCAACUCUGACAUUGCAUUCGAUACGGGCAGGCUAGAGUUCGGUAGGGGAGACUGGAAUUCCUGGUGUAGCGGUGAAAUGCGCAGAUAUCAGGAGGAACACCGGUGGCGAAGGCGGGUCUCUGGGCCGAUACUGACGCUGAGGAGCGAAAGCGUGGGGAGCGAACAGG